UUGAACGCUGGCGGUAGGCUUAACACAUGCAAGUCGUGCGAGAAAGUAUCUUCGGAUAUGAGUAGAGCGGCGGACGGGUGAGUAACGCGUAGGAAUCUACCUAGUAGAAGGGGAUAGCCCGAGGAAACUCGGAUUAAUACCGUAUACCUCCUUAGGGAGAAAGAGGGCCUCUCUUGAUGCUCUCGCUAUUAGAUGAGCCUGCGUAAGAUUAGCUUGUUGGUGAGGUAAUGGCUCACCAAGGCUACGAUCUUUAGCUGGUCUGAGAGGACGAUCAGCCACAUUGGGACUGAGACACGGCCCAGACUCCUACGGGAGGCAGCAGUGGGGAAUAUUGGACAAUGGGCGCAAGCCUGAUCCAGCCAUACCGCGUGUGUGAAGAAGGCCUUCGGGUUGUAAAGCACUUUAAGCAGGGAGAAAAAGUUAUAAGUUAAUACCUUAUAACCGUGAUGUUACCUGCAGAAUAAGCACCGGCUA
This 474-nucleotide ribosomal RNA is filed under the name uncultured Pseudomonadota bacterium. Its description in RNAcentral is "bacterial SSU rRNA". It matches the Rfam family "Bacterial small subunit ribosomal RNA", at positions 30 to 499 of the family's 1533-position model. The record is from RNAcentral. Lineage: Bacteria; Pseudomonadati; Pseudomonadota.